RNAcentral lists this ribosomal RNA (450 nucleotides) under uncultured bacterium. Its description in RNAcentral is "partial 16S ribosomal RNA". It matches the Rfam family "Bacterial small subunit ribosomal RNA", at positions 338 to 795 of the family's 1533-position model. The record is from RNAcentral.
CCUACGGGUGGCUGCAGUGGGGAAUUUUGCACAAUGGGCGAAAGCCUGAUGCAGCAACGCCGCGUGUGUGAUGAAGGUCUUCGGAUCGUAAAGCACUUUCGACCGGGACGAACAGCCUCUGGCUAACAGUCAGGGGCCUGACGGUACCGGGAGAAGAAGCACCGGCUAACUCUGUGCCAGCAGCCGCGGUAAUACAGAGGGUGCAAGCGUGGUUCGGAAUUAUUGGGCGUAAAGCGCGUGUAGGCGGCUUGAAAGCCCUCAGCUCAACUGAGGAAGGGCGCCCGAAACUGGCGAGCUUGAGUGUCGGAGAGGAUGGCGGAAUACCCCAAGUAGAGGUGAAAUUCGUAGAUAUGGGGUGGAACACCGGUGGCGAAGGCGGCCAUCUGGACGACAACUGACGCUGAGACGCGAAAGCGUGGGGAGCAAACAGGAUUAGAUACCCGAGUAGUC